GGAAUGCGCAGAUAUCAGGAGGAACACCGGUGGCGAAGGCGGGUCUCUGGGCAGUAACUGACGCUGAGGAGCGAAAGCGUGGGGAGCGAACAGGAUUAGAUACCCUGGUAGUCCACGCCGUAAACGGUGGGUACUAGGUGUGGGUUUCCUUCCUUGGGAUCCGUGCCGUAGCUAACGCAUUAAGUACCCCGCCUGGGGAGUACGGCCGCAAGGCUAAAACUCAAAGAAAUUGACGGGGGCCCGCACAAGCGGCGGAGCAUGUGGAUUAAUUCGAUGCAACGCGAAGAACCUUACCUGGGUUUGAUAUGCACAGGACGACGGCAGAGAUGUCGUUUCCCUUGUGGCCUGUGUGCAGGUGGUGCAUGGCUGUCGUCAGCUCGUGUCGUGAGAUGUUGGGUUAAGUCCCGCAACGAGCGCAACCCUUGUCUCAUGUUGCCAGCACGUAAUGGUGGGGACUCGUGAGAGACUGCCGGGGUCAACUCGGAGGAAGGUGGGGAUGACGUCAAGUCAUCAUGCCCCUUAUGUCCAGGGCUUCACACAUGCUACAAUGGCCGGUACAAAGGGCUGCGAAGCCGUGAGGUGGAGCGAAUCCUUUAAAGCCGGUCUCAGUUCGGAUCGGGGUCUGCAACUCGACCCCGUGAAGUCGGAGUCGCUAGUAAUCGCAGAUCAGCAACGCUGCGGUGAUACGUUCCCGGGCCUUGUACACACCGCCCGUCACGUCAUGAAAGUCGGUAACACCCGAAGCC
RNAcentral lists this ribosomal RNA (746 nucleotides) under uncultured Actinomycetes bacterium. RNAcentral's name for it is "bacterial SSU rRNA". It matches the Rfam family "Bacterial small subunit ribosomal RNA", at positions 683 to 1428 of the family's 1533-position model. The record is from RNAcentral. Lineage: Bacteria; Bacillati; Actinomycetota; Actinomycetes.